UACGUAGGGCGCAAGCAUUGUCCGGAUUUAUUGGGCGUAAAGAGCUCGUAGGCGGUUGGUCACGUCGGAUGUGAAACCUCGGAGCUCAACUCCGAGCCUGCAUCCGAUACGGGCCGACUCGAGUGUUGUAGGGGAGACUGGAAUUCCUGGUGUAGCGGUGGAAUGCGCAGAUAUCAGGAGGAACACCGAUGGCGAAGGCAGGUCUCUGGGCAAUUACUGACGCUGAGGAGCGAAAGCGUGGGGAGCAAACAGG
This 253-nucleotide ribosomal RNA is filed under the name uncultured bacterium. RNAcentral describes it as "partial 16S ribosomal RNA". It matches the Rfam family "Bacterial small subunit ribosomal RNA", at positions 524 to 776 of the family's 1533-position model. The record is from RNAcentral.